CCUCAACCCAUGACUGUCAUUAUGUAGGGUUGCAGGUCCACAUCCUCCUCACCCAUGGGACAGCGUUGGAGAGGCUCUGCGGGAUGGGAAGGACCCAUGGGCGCUGGAAUUGCCUGCAGCAUCCCCAGAGCUGCCCAGAUACAGGGUGUGCAGGCACAGCUCGACUUACCGCGACUUCUCCUGUGGCAAGAAAAGACUUGUUUGGGUCUUUCCUCCAACCCUUUUGUUGCUUCCCAGGUUUCCGUAUUUCUUUUGCACGUUCAAAAAAAUACCAUUGGGACAGAUAAAUGCCUUCGCUGACAUAGAGUGGUUCAUCCACGGCUGCAGCAAGGUGCAUCCAUCACUCCAAGUCCCGUUAACAACUCUGCUUCAAUGAGCAGCAAUUUUCUGCAGUCACUUCUGACUUCCCCAACUUUUAAGUAGCUCAGGCAGAAAUAUAAAUUUCUUUUUUUUUUUUUUUUUUUCCCCAUGGCAACAAAGCUAAUCCUGUGAAGAGGACUGGGAGGGUCCAUCUUUGCUGAGUCCUGCUGUUAGCCCUGCCAUUGCAGGUGGUGAGGUCCUCUUCCAGAUGGUUGCAGCCUGAAAAACAACCUCUAAGCAAGCACAUUAUAACUCCUUUUAAAGCCUUUUCUGUCCCUGCCCUCACUGGCCCAGCAGACCUUGUCAUUUACCACCACUUUUGCUCCCCCAACCAUCACCGUGUGUGGGUCCGGUCCCACAGCCAUGUCCAUCCAUCCUUGCAUCCUGACCUGGUCCAUGGAAUGAUGUAAAUAGAAAUUGAAGUGAUCGAUGAAGAAAUGCUGAUUCUCAUUAGUUUUUCUGUUGGAGGACAACAAGCUAACACACAGGAGUGAAGUGGGUUUGAUUUUGUAUCUCCUCUUUCAAAUGUGUAGUUAAACAGGGGGGGAAAAAAAAUAUAAUUUUCAGUCUGGCCCAAACACAGUUUCUCUUCAAUAGCUUUGUCUGUGCGCUGUUCAGAAGCCAACAGCUUUUAAAUUCCAUGUUUUCCUGAGGCACACAGCUCCUGCCCAGGGCUGCUCGGUGCCAGCUCAGCCCCCUUCACAGGGGAGCGCAUCCCUUCCAAAGUCAAUACAGCAAAAGAUAGGAAAUAAUGCUUCCUGCCUUAACCUUGUACAAAACUCACAUCUCCAGCCAGGCAAGGUCUCCCAGGCGUGGACACUCACCAGACUGGGACAGCUUAGGGCCACCAGGACCUCAGUGAGUACAAUUAAUCUCUCUGCUGCAGGAAAGCUACCAAAGAGUCCUAUUAGCGCUGAAGCAGCUUUUACUCAGAAGGAUCAAUAACACUUAUUUGCAAGUGUUUAGAGUACAUUAUUUGCAUUUGUGAAGGUAAUGAAAAAACUAUUGAAUUUUAAUUAGCAUUUUCUGGCUCUUCUGGGAGAACGCUGAUUCAAUCCACAGAUACUUUCAGGAUAUUUCAAGACAACAUCGUGGGCAAAAUUCAGAAUAAUUUCUGAUGUUCUGCCAUUACAAAAAACACCUCCAAAGCAUAGAUUUCCAUAAAGUACCCACUGCCACAAGUUAUUACAGAAGCAUAAUAAUGGGUCUAUUGUAUUAUAAAUUGUUUUGUCAUUUUGAAUUUCUGGUAACUGCUGAGAAGAAAAAUUAAAUAAAUAAAAUGACCAAUUUUCUUUUAUGAAACCA
RNAcentral lists this long non-coding RNA (1665 nucleotides) under Calidris pugnax (ruff). RNAcentral describes it as "lncRNA (ENSCPUG00000017520.1)". The record is from RNAcentral. Lineage: Eukaryota; Metazoa; Chordata; Aves; Charadriiformes; Scolopacidae.